CCAGGACUAAAUUGUGUAUAUACGCCAAACGCGCGUUUCGUCUACAAAAGACUCAUCAGUGACGCUCGAAUCCAAAAAAGUUAAAAAAGGACAAAUAAAGUACGAAGUUGAAGAGCAUUGAGGACCAAAAUUCCUAAAAGGUUUGCCAAAUACAGCUAAGGUAAUCUAUGCCUGAGGUAGAAAAGUCUUAGUAUUUCAAAAAUUCAAAAUUU
RNAcentral lists this long non-coding RNA (212 nucleotides) under Mytilus galloprovincialis (Mediterranean mussel). Lineage: Eukaryota; Metazoa; Mollusca; Bivalvia; Mytilida; Mytilidae. The record is from RNAcentral.